AUGAACGCUGGCGGCGUGCCUAAUACAUGCAAGUCGAGCGAACAGACGAGGAGCUUGAUCCUCUGACGUUAGCGGCGGACGGGUGAGUAACACGUGGAUAACCUACCUAUAAGACUGGGAUAACUUCGGGAAACCGGAGCUAAUACCGGAUAAUAUAUUGAACCGCAUGGUUCAAUAGUGAAAGACUGUUUUGCUGUCACUUAUAGAUGGAUCCGCGCCGCAUUAGCUAGUUGGUAAGGUAACGGCUUACCAAGGCAACGAUGCGUAGCCGACCUGAGAGGGUGAUCGGCCACACUGGAACUGAGACACGGUCCAGACUCCUACGGGAGGCAGCAGUAGGGAAUCUUCCGCAAUGGGCGAAAGCCUGACGGAGCAACGCCGCGUGAGAGAUGAAGGUCUUCGGAUCGUAAGACUCUGUUAUUAGGGAAGAACAAAUGUGUAAGUAACUAUGCACGUAUUGACGGUACCUAAACAGAAAGCCACGGCUAACUACGUG
This 496-nucleotide ribosomal RNA is filed under the name uncultured bacterium. Its description in RNAcentral is "partial 16S ribosomal RNA". It matches the Rfam family "Bacterial small subunit ribosomal RNA", at positions 29 to 507 of the family's 1533-position model. The record is from RNAcentral.